UACAGAGGUCUCAAGCGUUGUUCGGAUUCAUUGGGCGUAAAGGGUGCGUAGGUGGCGCCGUAAGUCCGGUGUGAAAUUUCGGAGCUUAACUCCGAAACUGCAUUUGAUACUGCGGGGCUUGAGGACUGGAGAGGAGACUGGAAUUUACGGUGUAGCAGUGAAAUGCGUAGAUAUCGUAAGGAAGACCAGUGGCGAAGGCGAAUCUCUGGACAGUUACUGACACUGAGGCACGAAGGCCAGGGGAGCAAACGGG
RNAcentral lists this ribosomal RNA (253 nucleotides) under uncultured bacterium. Its description in RNAcentral is "partial 16S ribosomal RNA". It matches the Rfam family "Bacterial small subunit ribosomal RNA", at positions 524 to 776 of the family's 1533-position model. The record is from RNAcentral.